Molecule: ribosomal RNA, 207 nt
Filed under: Metarhabditis blumi
Lineage: Eukaryota; Metazoa; Nematoda; Chromadorea; Rhabditida; Rhabditidae
Description: partial 28S ribosomal RNA
Source: RNAcentral
CACAACCUGACCUCAGUCGUGAUUACCCGCUGACUUUAAAUAUAAAAUAUCCCGCUCCCCCCCCCCCCCCCCCCCCCCCUCCCCCCCCCCCCCCCCUCCCCCCCCCACUCCUCCCGCAUCCUCUCCCUCUCACUAUCUAACACCACCACAUCCAUCUCACUCCUUUUCCUGUGUCUUAUUUCCCAUCUUCUUCCCUGCCCCACCCUG